Molecule: ribosomal RNA, 253 nt
Filed under: uncultured bacterium
Lineage: Bacteria
Description: partial 16S ribosomal RNA
Rfam family: Bacterial small subunit ribosomal RNA
Source: RNAcentral
GACGUAGGGCGCGAGCGUUGUCCGGAUUUAUUGGGCGUAAGGAGCUCGUAGGCGGCUUGUCGCGUCGGCUGUGAAAACCCGCGGCUCAACUGUGGGCGGGCAGCUGAUACGGGCAGGCUGGAGUUCGGUAGGGGAGACUGGAAUUCCUGGUGUAGCGGUGAAAUGCGCAGAUAUCAAGAGGAACACCGAUGGCGAAGGCAGGUCUCUGGGCCACUACUGACGCUGAGAAGCGAAAGCAUGGGAAGCGAACAGG